CACGUAGGGUGCGAGCGUUGUCCGGAAUUAUUGGGCGUAAAGGGCUCGUAGGCGGUCCAUCGCGUCGGGAGUGAAAAGCUGGGGCUUAACCCCAGUCCUGCUUCCGAUACGGGUGGACUAGAGGUAGGUAGGGGAGAACGGAAUUCCUGGUGUAGCGGUGAAAUGCGCAGAUAUCGGGAGGAACACCUGAGGCGAAGGCGGGCUACUGGGCCGAUACUGACGCUGAUGUGCGAAAGCCAGGGGAGCGAACGGG
This 253-nucleotide ribosomal RNA is filed under the name uncultured bacterium. Its description in RNAcentral is "partial 16S ribosomal RNA". It matches the Rfam family "Bacterial small subunit ribosomal RNA", at positions 524 to 776 of the family's 1533-position model. The record is from RNAcentral.